RNAcentral lists this non-coding RNA (413 nucleotides) under Hyaloperonospora arabidopsidis Emoy2. RNAcentral's name for it is "Eukaryotic large subunit ribosomal RNA". It matches the Rfam family "Eukaryotic large subunit ribosomal RNA", at positions 3005 to 3399 of the family's 3401-position model. The record is from Rfam by way of RNAcentral. Lineage: Eukaryota; Oomycota; Peronosporomycetes; Peronosporales; Peronosporaceae.
UCGUUGUCUAAACAGUAAUCCAACCCAGUACGAGAGGAACCGUUGGUUCAGAUAGUUGGUAACUGCGGUUAGCUGAAAAGAUAGUAGACUACAAAUUCACCGCACAUAAUAAAUACGUGACAGAGAUGUUAAGCUUGAGCUCAUCCCGCUUCACCACUUGCCGUUACUAGGGGAAAACUUGUUAGUUUCUUUUCCUCCGCUUAUUAAUAUGCUUAAGUUCAGCGGGACCCAACAUCAUACAAUUGCAACGCACUUUGCUGCCUAUCAAAUAAAGGUAGUGGAGAGUAGGCUGAUUUGUAAUUUCAAAUAUUGGGAAAGAUAAAUCCUUUGUAGACGACUUAACUACAGAACGGGGUUUUGUAAGCAUGAGAGUAGUCUUGCACUACGAUCUGCUGAGCCCGCGUGCAACAUUA